UCAAAAGUCAUGCAAUCUGAGUUCGCCGCGUCUUGCGGAAAAGAUUGCAUGACUUACAUCUUGUGAG
This 67-nucleotide small RNA is filed under the name Psychrobacillus sp. OK032. Its description in RNAcentral is "Bacillaceae-1 RNA". It matches the Rfam family "Bacillaceae-1 RNA". Lineage: Bacteria; Bacillati; Bacillota; Bacilli; Caryophanales; Bacillaceae. The record is from RNAcentral.